UACGGAAGGCAGCAGUGGGGAAUAUUGCACAAUGGGCGAAAGCCUGAUGCAGCUAUGCCGCGUGUAUGAAGAAGGCCUUAGGGUUGUAAAGUACUUUUCAUCGGGGAGGAAAAAACAAAACUAAUAAUUUUAUUUCUUGACGUUACCCGAAAAAGAAGCACCGGCUAACUCCGUGCCAGCAGCCGCGGUAAUACGGAGGGGUGCUAGCGUUAAUCAGAAUUACUGGGCGUAAAGAGCACGUAGGUGGUUUUUUUAAGUUCAGAUGUGAAAUCCCUGGGCUUAACCUAGGAACUUGCAUUUUGAAACUGAAAUACUAGAGUAUCGUAGAGGGAGGUAGAAUUCUAGGUGUAGCGGUGAAAUGCGUAGAUAUCUGGAGGAAUACCUGUGGCGAAGUCGGCCUCCUAACGAAUACUGACACUGAGGGU
This 425-nucleotide ribosomal RNA is filed under the name uncultured bacterium. RNAcentral describes it as "bacterial SSU rRNA". It matches the Rfam family "Bacterial small subunit ribosomal RNA", at positions 340 to 752 of the family's 1533-position model. The record is from RNAcentral.